GUAGGUGGCAAGCGUUGUCCGGAAUUAUUGGGCGUAAAGCGCGCGCAGGCGGUCCUUUAAGUCUGAUGUGAAAGCCCACGGCUCAACCGUGGAGGGUCAUUGGAAACUGGGGGACUUGAGUACAGAAGAGGAAAGCGGAAUUCCACGUGUAGCGGUGAAAUGCGUAGAGAUGUGGAGGAACACCAGUGGCGAAGGCGGCUUUCUGGUCUGUAACUGACGCUGAGGCGCGAAAGCGUGGGGAGCAAACAGGGAUUAGAUACCCUGGUAGUCCACGCCGUAAACGAUGAGUGCUAAGUGUUAGGGGGUUUCCGCCCCCUUAGUGCUGCAGCUAACGCAUUAAGCACUCCGCCUGGGGAGCACGGCCGCAAGGCUG
This 373-nucleotide ribosomal RNA is filed under the name uncultured organism. Its description in RNAcentral is "partial 16S ribosomal RNA". It matches the Rfam family "Bacterial small subunit ribosomal RNA", at positions 527 to 896 of the family's 1533-position model. The record is from RNAcentral.